UGAGGAAUAUUGGGCAAUGCCCGCAAGGGUGACCCAGCAACGCCGCGUGGAGGAUGAAUGUCGUAAGAUUGUAAACUCCUGUUAGAGGGGAAGAAUAGUACCGGUUGGACCGGUAUAUGACUGUACCCUCAGAGAAAGCCCCGGCUAACUACGUGCCAGCAGCCGCGGUAAUACGUAGGGGGCAAGCGUUGUCCGGAUUUACUGGGUGUAAAGGGCGCGCAGGCGGGAUAAAAAGUCAGUGGUGAAAUCCUACAGCUUAACUGUAGAACUGCCUUUGAUACUUUUAUUCUUGAGUUCGGGAGAGAGAGACGGAAUUCCAGGUGUAGUGGUGAAAUACGUAGAUAUCUGGAAGAACACCAGUUGCGAAGGCGGUCUCUUGGUCCGACACUGACGCUUAGGCGCGAAAGCGUGGGGAGCAAACA
RNAcentral lists this ribosomal RNA (422 nucleotides) under uncultured bacterium. RNAcentral describes it as "bacterial SSU rRNA". It matches the Rfam family "Bacterial small subunit ribosomal RNA", at positions 355 to 774 of the family's 1533-position model. The record is from RNAcentral.